Molecule: non-coding RNA, 184 nt
Filed under: Desulfomonile tiedjei
Lineage: Bacteria; Pseudomonadati; Thermodesulfobacteriota; Desulfomonilia; Desulfomonilales; Desulfomonilaceae
Source: RNAcentral
GUUAAGGUUCAGUAAUUGGGCUAUCCUAAAAAUCAGGAUUUUAGGGAAAACGGUGCAAAUCCGUUGCGGACCCGCCGCUGUAACCGGGGAUGAAAGCCGCAAUACCACUGUCAAUUCUUGAUGGGAAGGGCGGCGAGUAAAACGAACCGGAAGCCAGAAGACCUGCCCAUGGGAGCUAUAGCGU